This 253-nucleotide ribosomal RNA is filed under the name uncultured bacterium. RNAcentral's name for it is "partial 16S ribosomal RNA". It matches the Rfam family "Bacterial small subunit ribosomal RNA", at positions 524 to 776 of the family's 1533-position model. The record is from RNAcentral.
UACGAAGGGGGCUAGCGUUGCUCGGAAUCACGGGGCGUAAAGCGCACGUAGGCGGAUUGUUAAGUCAGGGGUGAAAUCCUGGAGCUCAACUCCAGAACUGCCUUUGAUACUGGCGAUCUUGAGUCCGGGAGAGGUGAGUGGAACUGCGAGUGUAGAGGUGAAAUUCGUAGAUAUUCGCAAGAACACCAGUGGCGAAGGCGGCUCACUGGCCCGGUACUGACGCUGAGGUGCGAAAGCGUGGGGAGCAAACAGG